GGCGGUCUACUUAUCGCGUUAGCUUCGCUACGCACGCCUUAAAGGCACACACAGCUAGUAGACAGCGUUUACGGUGUGGACUACCAGGGUAUCUAAUCCUGUUCGCUACCCACACUUUCGCACAUGAGCGUCAGUCUUUGGCCAGGGAGUCGCCUUCGCCACUGAUGUUCCUCCAGAUAUCUACGCAUUUCACCGCUACACCUGGAAUUCCACUCCCCUCUCCAAGACUCUAGUCUGCCAGUUCUAAAUGACCAUCCCAGGUUGAGCCCGGGGCUUUCACAUCUAGCUUAACAAACCGCCUGCGUGCGCUUUACGCCCAGUAAUUCCGAUUAACGCUCGCACCCUCCGUAUUACCGCGGCUGCUGGCACGGAGUUAGCCGGUGCUUCUUCUGUUGUUAACGUCACGGCUGGCAGGUAUUAACUACCAACUUUUCCUCACAACUGAAAGUGCUUUACAACCCGAAGG
Molecule: ribosomal RNA, 466 nt
Filed under: uncultured bacterium
Lineage: Bacteria
Description: partial 16S ribosomal RNA
Source: RNAcentral